UCCGUAGGCGGUGCGGCAAGUCGAUAGUGAAAUCUCUGGGCUUAACCCGGAGGCUGCUAACGAAACUGCCGUGCUAGAGUGUGAGAGAGGCGAGUGGAAUUACGGGUGUAGCGGUGAAAUGCGUAGAUAUCCGUAGGAACAUCCGAGGCGAAAGCGGCUCGCUGGAUCACAACUGACGCUGAGGGACGAAAGCUAGGGGAGCAAACAGGAUUAGAUACCCUGGUAGUCCUAGCCCUAAACCAUCAGGACUUGGGGUUUGCCCUGUACGGGGCAAGUCCCGUAGCUAACGCGUUAAGUCCUGCGCCUGGGGAGUACGGUCGCAAGGCUGAA
Molecule: ribosomal RNA, 330 nt
Filed under: uncultured bacterium
Lineage: Bacteria
Description: bacterial SSU rRNA
Rfam family: Bacterial small subunit ribosomal RNA
Source: RNAcentral